GCUGGGCACACUGGAGCGCGUCUGUAGUCCCAGCUAUUCCGGAGGCUGAGGCAAGAGGAUGGCUUGAGCCCAGGAGUUUUGGGCUGUAGUGCGUUAUGCUAAUUAGGUGUCCACAUUAAGUUUGGCAUCAAUAUGGUGACCUCCCAGAGUGGGGACCACCAGGUUGCCUAAAGAGGGGUGAACUGGCCCUUUUCGGAAAGGGAGCAGGUCAAAACUUCCGUGCUGAUGAGUAGUGGGAUCGCCCUGUGAAUAGCCACUGCACUCCAGCCUGGGCAACAUAGCGAGACCCCGUCUCUU
RNAcentral lists this signal recognition particle RNA (297 nucleotides) under Pteropus alecto (black flying fox). RNAcentral's name for it is "Metazoan signal recognition particle RNA". It matches the Rfam family "Metazoan signal recognition particle RNA". Rfam says of the family: The signal recognition particle (SRP) is a universally conserved ribonucleoprotein. The record is from Rfam by way of RNAcentral. Lineage: Eukaryota; Metazoa; Chordata; Mammalia; Chiroptera; Pteropodidae.